UUAACUGAAACCAAAAAGAGGUCUAUUAAUGUUAAUAAUACAAUUGAAUAAUAUAUUCCAGUUAAG
This 66-nucleotide transfer RNA is filed under the name Euphyllodromia sp. Z257. Its description in RNAcentral is "tRNA-Asn". The record is from RNAcentral. Lineage: Eukaryota; Metazoa; Arthropoda; Insecta; Blattodea; Pseudophyllodromiidae.